AUUGAACGCUGGCGGCAGGCCUAACACAUGCAAGUCGAACGAGUGGCGGACGGGUGAGUAAUGUCUGGGAAACUGCCUGAUGGAGGGGGAUAACUACUGGAAACGGUAGCUAAUACCGCAUACCAUCAGAUGUGCCCAGAUGGGAUUAGCUAGUUGGUGGGGUAACGGCUCACCAAGGCGACGACCCCUAGCUUGUAUGAGUGGAUGACCGGCCCUACUGAAGCUGAGACACGGUCCAGACUCCUACGAGAGGCAGCGGUGGGGAAUAUUGCACAAUGGGCGCAAGCCUGGUGCAGCCAUGCCGCGUGUAUGAAGAAGGCCCUCGGGUUGUAAAGUACUUUCAGCGGGGAGGCGUUGCCCGCAAAAGAAGCACCGGCUAACUCCGUGCCAGCCGCCGCGGUAAUUC
Molecule: ribosomal RNA, 406 nt
Filed under: uncultured bacterium
Lineage: Bacteria
Description: partial 16S ribosomal RNA
Rfam family: Bacterial small subunit ribosomal RNA
Source: RNAcentral